UGUGGGUGCUUGGUUUGGAUUGAAAUGGCUUAAAACUCAAAAAGUGGAACUCUGUUUUUGAUGGAGAAACCUGGUUUCGAGGAAGAGUUUUUCUAGCUUCAAAAUAUACGGAAAUGCAUGGAAUACAUUCCCCUAUUUAUAGGGAUGGUGAGAGAAUUGUUUGGAGGGAGAAUGAAUGGGUCUUGCUCAGAAAGUGGGUGAGGUCGAAAAUAAGACAAAGUGAGACUUA
RNAcentral lists this long non-coding RNA (229 nucleotides) under Lathyrus oleraceus (garden pea). RNAcentral's name for it is "Pisum sativum (pea) long non-coding RNA (PSAT_LNC014985)". Lineage: Eukaryota; Viridiplantae; Streptophyta; Magnoliopsida; Fabales; Fabaceae. The record is from RNAcentral.